Molecule: long non-coding RNA, 2486 nt
Filed under: Sus scrofa (pig)
Lineage: Eukaryota; Metazoa; Chordata; Mammalia; Artiodactyla; Suidae
Description: lncRNA (ENSSSCG00030062541.1)
Source: RNAcentral
UUUUUUUUUUUUAUAUCAGAUGAGCAAUGUGCCAAUAUCUUAAUAAGGUUUAAGGGAGGCACAUGUUGCAUAAUAGCCUGAGCACCCAAUCAUCACACUCAUGAACUACAGAAGGAUCUUUAGCAUUUUUUUUUUUAAAACUCAGGCCACACUAGUGUCAUGGAGCCCAAGUCAGAACUCAAUAUCAGAGCCUGGAGGGAAUGCCAGGACCAAACCAGGGAUGGCAGGAGAAUGAGGAGAACUUUCUUUGGCCUGAAAACAGUCACCUGGUGAGUUCCAGAAGGACUGGCUUGAAGCUGGCUCUGGGCUUUCUAGGUGCUAGAGUCCACAGCCUUGCCCCAGGGGGCUUGGGCCACUACUGGCCCCUCCACUCGCGUCACAGUUGUAGCCCAGCCGACCGGGCUGACCCAUGUGGAACCGCCGUCUUUCCUGCGCCUCUGCUCCUGCCCCCAUCAAUGCAAACAGGCCGCACGAGUUUCCACUUCUGCCCUCCAUCACCCUCUUUAAAUUUUUUUAAUUAAUUAUCUUUUUAUUGUUUUUUUUAAGGGCCACACUCGCGGCAUAUGGAAGUUCCCAGGCUAGGGGGUGAAUUGGAGCUGCAGCUGCUGGCCUGCGCCGCAGCCACAGCCACAGCGAUGCCAGAUCUGAGCUAUGUCUGUGACCUACACCACAGCUCAGGGCAACGCCAGACGCCUGACCCACUGAGCGAAGCCAGGGAUCAAACCUGCAUCCUCAUGGAUACCAAGAUGGUUCAUUACCACUGAACAACAACCCCCCAUCAUCAUCCUCUUCGGAGCCCCUCUGCUCAUGGAGGGCCCGCCCAGGCUCCCCAGGCUCAGCGCCUGGCCUGCCUUCUCCCUGAAGCCUCCCCAGCUUGCAGUGGCCCCUCUGCAUUUGGAGCAGCCUUGUGCUAGUCCAGAGUCCUGCUCCAGAAUGACUUGUGCCUGGGUGUGAGUCCCCAGGGACUGGCGGCUACUUAGAUCACCUGUGGUGGCUCAGUUUCCUCAUCUGUAAAGUGGGGAUAAUAGUGCUACCUGCCUCUGCGGUUGUUGUGAGGACUGAAUGACCCGAUAUGGGCCAAGGACUCAGCACACUUCCGGCCACGCGGGGAACCCUAACAAACGUCAGCUACACGAACAGCCGGAUCCUCCGCUGCCUCUUACAGGCCAAGCACCACCUUAGGCACUGGGAUUAGGGAGGGGGCGGGGCUACGGGGGGAGCAAUGCUGCCAAAUCCCACCUCCCCGGGACUCAAGGGCCAGACAGCAGCCAAUCAACUCAUCCCUCCCCAAGGGCCCCCUGCUGACCUCGGGUCUCUGGACCCCAUGGUUGGAGGGGCCACCCCUGCUCUCCUGAGGGUCCAGGGCCUGCAAGUGAGGGGCUUCGGGAAGAGCUUUUUCUGCCCUUGGGCGUCCUUUAGUCAUUUUCUGGAGCUCGGUAGGCUGCGGGCACCCUCCCAGCAAGGCCGUGAGAAGCCUGCCUCCCUUGCCCACACCACCACCCAAACCUGGUGACGCUAACUCCCCAUCUCAGUCAGCAGAAAACCAGGUCUUACCUGGGGCCAGGCUGCCUUCGUCUCACUUCCACCUGCCUCGGCCACCAGCCUGGUCCUCCUGCGGCUCUCUCGGAACCUCCGCUCUGACCAGGCUGAAGAUCCUGCGGGGGUCGCCACGGCCCCGCCCUCCGCCCCGCCCCCUCUCCUUAAGGCCUGUGCCCCUGCUCUCCUCUCCCCGUGUCCUUCUCAACCUCCCUCACCUGGCCAUCUCCAGCUCCUCCUUCAGGCCCAGUCGAAGUCUCCCCUGACUCCUCCAACGAUUUCAGCAGUGAUUAUACACCCGCGAUUCUCAGCUCUGGCUACACGCUGGAAUCACCUUGGAGGGCUUUGGGAAAAAACUGUAGAGUCCAGCCCCAGCUCUCACCACCUGAAUCCAAACCGUGGGGCUGGGACCCUAUAUCCAAGGGGUUUAAAAUUCCUCCAGGCCAUUCAAAUAUGCAGGCAGGUUUGAGAUCGAUCGUCUCAUUCUAGAAGCACCUGUGCUGUGAGGGGGGUGGGAGGGGUGGGUCUGUUUUGCUGUCCCAGACCCAACCCCUCGCCCUACACGGAGCGUCUGUCAGGCACCGAUGAAAUAUUUGCUUAAUGGAUGAUACAAUCCGCUCUUGGCCCACCAGGCUCCACGCGGCCUCGGCGGCCCCAUCCUCCAGUCCCGCCGCUCCACUCUCCGCGCAGCCGCAGUACACAGAAAGGGCCAUGCUUCCUACAAGCCCCUCCCACGUGUGGUUCCUAGAUCUCGCGAUUCUUCAGGGCUCUGUUGAAAUGCUCCUUUCUGUUGUCCCUGGUGCCCGCUGGCCUCAAUCCUCUUGCCCACCUGCCCCCGCUCCCCAUCCCCCUCUCCAGACCUUUCCCUUGCUACCUCUUAUCACUCGGGAGUCACCCAUGUCUGUCCCCUCCCCCAAGGGGCAGAUGCCUCUGCUGUCCUUUACCAAAUC